RNAcentral lists this ribosomal RNA (160 nucleotides) under Bacillaceae bacterium 2003_NPK(8). Its description in RNAcentral is "partial 16S ribosomal RNA". It matches the Rfam family "Bacterial small subunit ribosomal RNA", at positions 355 to 507 of the family's 1533-position model. Lineage: Bacteria; Bacillati; Bacillota; Bacilli; Caryophanales; Bacillaceae. The record is from RNAcentral.
UAGGGAAUCUUCCGCAAUGGACGAAAGUCUGACGGGGCAACGCCGCGUGAACGAAGAAGGCCUUCGGGUCGUAAAGUUCUGUUGUUAGGGAAGAACAAGUACCAGAGUAACUGCUGGUACCUUGACGGUACCUAACCAGAAAGCCACGGCUAACUACGUG